This 535-nucleotide long non-coding RNA is filed under the name Mytilus galloprovincialis (Mediterranean mussel). Lineage: Eukaryota; Metazoa; Mollusca; Bivalvia; Mytilida; Mytilidae. The record is from RNAcentral.
GUGGCGUUAUACAUUGUUUUGAUGUAAGAUAUGAUACAUCUUUUCUAUAAAAUCGAUUGAUUGACAGAUUGGUGGUUGCAGACUGAGAACGUGCAGUGUCAAAUAGUUCAUGCAUGCAUGCACGGAACGAAAAGCUAUUUUAAAACAAUACAUACGUAUUACCAUGCAUGGGGAAUACCUGUAAUAAAUUAAGGGUAGACCAGGAUGAAGUUCGGUAAACUUUUUAUACGGGUUUUACAUUUUUUUCUAUUUUGGCGGAUGAAGACAAUUCUAUUCCCAAGUCACCCUUAAGUGUCCAUAAAUUCAGCAGCACCCAUACAUAUAUAUAUACCUACUUUCCAAUCUUUUAAAACAAAUAAAAGAAAGAAUAAGACAAAAUGAUACACAUUCUCAAACGCCUAUUUUAUCGGUAAUAAUACUUGAGGGUCUUGUUGGAGUUGACAGAAUAUCAAAUCACGCGACUGGGAAACGCAGAAUAAAGGACAAAACAUAUAGCAUAUACAAAAAAAUAUAAAGAAUAGAAAAUAAAAGGAUG